This is an RNA transcript of Oncorhynchus masou masou (cherry salmon), 774 nucleotides long. It is a transcript of the gene named ribulose-phosphate 3-epimerase-like, with no coding region annotated. Lineage: Eukaryota; Metazoa; Chordata; Actinopteri; Salmoniformes; Salmonidae. The transcript has 5 exons. The record is from RefSeq and is a predicted model, not a curated record.
AGUAGCAAACCAACACGUUCGAGUACUCUAUGAACUGCUUUCUUGCAAAGCCAGGUGAGAGCAGGGCAGACAGCACCCACAUGUCUUACAGCGCAAAGAUGCUGGUACUAGUUCAAUUGCCUAGUUAAAUCAAAAAUAAAUAUAUAUUUGUAAUACUUCGCAAAAAAUUGGUCCGUCCAUCCCAGUGACCUACCUAGCAUGCAUUGGUACUGAAUCGGUUCGAAUGACGGAGUGCGGGGCUGACUUCCUGCACCUCGAUGUUAUGGACCGUCAUUCUGUACCCAACAUCAUGUUCGGUCAUCCCAUGGUGGAGUGCCUGAGGAACUGUGUGGGGCCAGACCCUUUUUGAUAUGCACGUGAUGGUAUCGGGGCCAGAGCGGUGGGUGAAACCCAUGGCAGGAGACAAUCAGUACACAUUCCACCCGGAGGCCACCACCAAUGCUGGAAACCUCAUCAAGGAGAUCGGAGAGAGCGGCAUGAAAGUGAGGCCGUGUUCACUAUAGAGGGAGACGAGAUCCAGAUAUGGGAGAGAAACGAAUCGUCAGAGAAAAUAAACGUGAGCUGGCUGAGGAGUCAGUUUCCCUCUCUGGACAUUGUGGAUGGAGGAGUGGGUCCUUCUGCCAACCAUAAGUGUGCGGAUGCGGAUGCUGACAUGAUCAUGUCGGACUGUGGUAAGCAGCGAUGACCCUCGCUCUGUCAUCACAGACAGACAGACAGAGAGAGAGAGAAAGGCUGAACAAGAUGUCAUAUUUUGAAGACUUUUUUUGGGGGGGG